RNAcentral lists this ribosomal RNA (255 nucleotides) under uncultured bacterium. RNAcentral describes it as "partial 16S ribosomal RNA". It matches the Rfam family "Bacterial small subunit ribosomal RNA", at positions 524 to 776 of the family's 1533-position model. The record is from RNAcentral.
UACGUAGGGUGCAAGCGUUAAUCGGAAUUACUGGGCGUAAAGCGUGCGCAGGCGGUUUUGUAAGUCAGAUGUGAAAUCCCCCGGGCUCAACCUGGGAACUGCGUUUGAAACUACAAGGCUAGAGUGUAGCAGAGGGGGGGUAGAAUUCCACGUGUAGCAGUGAAAUGCGUAGAGAUGUGGAGGAAUACCAGUGGCGAAGGCGGCUUACUACACAGUGAUUGACACUGAGGCACGAAAGCGUGGGGAUCAAACAGG